UUACGGCCCUAUCACGUUGAAACACAGCUCCUCGUACGAUCACCGAAGUGAAGCAACGUGGCGCUUGGAUAGUACCUAGAUGGGUAACCGCUUCGGAAUACCAGGUGCUGUG
Acanthosepion pharaonis is the source of this 112-nucleotide non-coding RNA. NCBI's taxonomy places the organism in Eukaryota, Metazoa, Mollusca, Cephalopoda, Sepiida, Sepiidae. The record is from the annotation of a GenBank genome assembly.